Molecule: ribosomal RNA, 690 nt
Filed under: embryophyte environmental sample
Lineage: Eukaryota; Viridiplantae; Streptophyta
Description: eukaryotic LSU rRNA
Rfam family: 5.8S ribosomal RNA (bases 286-441)
Source: RNAcentral
UUAGAGGAAGGAGAAGUCGUAACAAGGUUUCCGUAGGUGAACCUGCGGAAGGAUCAUUGUCGAACCUGCUUCAUGCAAAAAUGACCCGCGAACUUGUUUAUUCAUCUACCGUCGGGAGGGAGGGGAUGACCACGGCGCCCCGUGCGCCCGGCCUCCUCGUCCUCGCGACAAACACAAACCCCGGCGCUUCGUGCGCCAAGGAACUCAAAUCUGUUAAGUGCGACUCCCGGGGGCCCGGAGACGGUGUCCCGCGGGAGUCGUCACGACACAACAUUUACGUACAAUGACUCUCGGCAACGGAUAUCUCGGCUCUUGCAUCGAUGAAGAACGUAGCGAAAUGCGAUACUUGGUGUGAAUUGCAGAAUCCCGUGAACCAUCGAGUCUUUGAACGCAAGUUGCGCCCGGAGCCAUUAGGCCGAGGGCACGCCUGCCUGGGUGUCACACAUCGUUUCCCCAACGCAAACAUGUAACAAUGUUGCUGCGCGGGGUGUAUGCUGACCUCCCGCGAGCACCCGCCUCGUGGUUGGUUGAAAUCUGGGUUCAUGGCCGACUUCGCCGUGAUAAAAUGGUGGAUGAGCCACGCUCGAGACCAAUCACGUGCGAGCCGGUCAGUUCUGGACCCAUCGACGACCCUUUGCGUGCACGCACGCUCCCAACGAGACCUCAGGUCGGGCGGGGCUACCCGCUGAG